This 775-nucleotide ribosomal RNA is filed under the name uncultured Neocallimastigales. Its description in RNAcentral is "partial large subunit ribosomal RNA". It matches the Rfam family "Eukaryotic large subunit ribosomal RNA", at positions 24 to 645 of the family's 3401-position model. The record is from RNAcentral. Lineage: Eukaryota; Fungi; Neocallimastigomycota; Neocallimastigomycetes; Neocallimastigales.
UAUGUGAUCGUCUCUCGCAUAUCAAUAAGCGGAGGAAAAGAAACUAACAAGGAUUCCCCUAGUAACGGCGAGUGAAGCGGGAAGAGCUCAAAUUUGAAAUCUUAAAGGGUUUCCCUUUACGAAUUGUAGUUUAAAGAAGUGUUUUCUGUUGAGGUUUUGGUAAAAGUUCUUUGGAAUAGGACAUCAUAGAGGGUGAGAAUCCCGUAGUUUGACCUUUACUUUCAACUUUGUGAUACACUUUCAAAGAGUCGGAUUGUUUGGGAAUGCAGUCCAAAAUGGGUGGUAAAUUUCAUCUAAAGCUAAAUAUUGGCGAGAGACCGAUAGCGAACAAGUACCGUGAGGGAAAGAUGAAAAGAACUUUGAAAAGAGAGUUAAACAGUACGUGAAAUUGUCAAAAGGGAAGCGUUUGACACCAGUGUUGUUUUUCUGAAAAUCAAUUAAAGAACUGUUUAUGCUAAGUUGUUUAGACUUUAUCAGCUAACUGCUUAGUUUUGAGCUUUUCUUUAAUGCACUUUUCAGUUAACAAGUCAACAUCAAUUUCUUUUGCUGUAAAAAAGCUUGAGGAAGGUGGCUUGAGAUUCGUCUUAAGUGUUUAUAGCCUCUUGCCUAUGCAGUCGGAGAGAUUGAGGUCUGCAGCGUAGAUCCUUCGGGGCUAAAUGCAUUUGUGCUAAGUUAUAGCAUUUUAUAGACAACUUGUUGACUAUGAUUUGUCUUGUAGCUUACUCGCUUAUGUUAUUUUACCUACGCUUAGGAUGUUGAAGUCAUCGUAUCGCGC